Long non-coding RNA from Arabidopsis thaliana (thale cress), 607 nucleotides. RefSeq annotates it as other RNA. Lineage: Eukaryota; Viridiplantae; Streptophyta; Magnoliopsida; Brassicales; Brassicaceae. The record is from RefSeq. The transcript has a single exon.
GUGGUGCCAAAACUGAGUGCCUCUAAUCCAUUUGUCACCAACGGUUCUUAAUUGCAAAACAUGGAGAACUCAAGUCACACACAUAAGUAGCCACGGACCAUGUCGAGUUUGACCAUGUCAAAAUCCUUCAUUGUUCUUCUCUUUGUGAUCUUGCACAAGUCCCAUAUACGGUACACAUCAUCUCUCUCCCCUUCAACAGAAAAAACAAACAACCCGAACUGUCUCCUGCACCAUUGCUCUUAAAACCUCUCUCCGACACGAAUCCCUCCAACCCUGCUUCACCACCGGAACAUUGAGAAAUAUUCUCGGUGACACUGAGGUUGAAAAACCCAAUCGAACCGCAGACGUACCAGGAAUCGAACCAUGUAUUAACGCCAUUGAAAAAGUGAAAAACGAAAUAUUGAGAAUUUGUUUGCUUUGGACACGUGUCCGCCUCUCUCAUUUUAAUUUAGUUUUGAUUAAUUUUUCAUCGAAAAUAUCAAGAGAGCCUCACAAAAAUUGCAUUACAGCCUCCCAUUGGAGGUGCUCUAAAUACCCCAUAGCAAAACAAGCUGCUCAGAAACACUUUGUUUUUACCAAAAAAUAAAGCUGGUAAGUUGUUGGUAAG